This is a long non-coding RNA of Astatotilapia calliptera (eastern happy), 845 nucleotides long. The record is from Ensembl. NCBI's taxonomy places the organism in Eukaryota, Metazoa, Chordata, Actinopteri, Cichliformes, Cichlidae.
GUUUUUCAACAUUUUCCCACUGCUUGAUUAAAACUGAAUUUUAAGGACACCGCAGAGAGAGAUCUCUCUGUGUGGCUCGUUAAAAGUUGGUGUCCCUCUGAUCCCCUUCAGAACUGAUCACAUCUGGGUUCUGGAUGCUGCUUGUUCCUGCUGCUGAGGUCCAACACGUCCAGCUGGGUUCAACAGCCAGCGUGGGCUGUAACCUCUCCUAUCUUUAUGACACAACGUGGCUUAAGCAUCACCCAGAUAAACCUCCCACCAUGAUCUUCUCUGCCAGCCUCAAAGAGGGACGACCCAUCCAAGGGUUUCAGCUCAACAGUCGUUAUACAGUGAAUUUGGUGAACCGCUCUCUGGCACUGAUGAUCUCCAGUAUCGAGGACAGAGACCUGGGGCUGUACUACUGUAUUUCCUACGUAAACUCAGACUUAAAAAUUGGGGAAGGAACCAAGCUUCAGGUUUCAGGUUUAUCUCGGUUUCUUUUUAAUCACUGGUACUGCAUGAUCACGGGUUUCAUCCUCAUGAUUAUGGUACUGGCUGUUUGUGUCACCCACUGGAAAGCUCGGGCGAAGGAGAAGAAGAAGAAGACCGCCAUCCGGACCAGAUCCUGACAUCACCCGUAAAUAUAUGACAAAUAGUAGUAAUACUUCAACUCCGACACCAACUACACUUUCACAGCUGAUAGUUUAUGCCCACUAUUACAUGGAUUCAAUGUAUUAAUGUUGCAUUUGUAUAUAUACAACCUGUGUGUGUAUGUCUGGGUUUUUAUUUUGUGUAUAAAGUGUAGAUUCUUUGUUUUUCUUCCACUUCUUAUUUAUGGCAUUCUUAUGUUGGGUUGCUAAAUGCAC